RNA transcript from Triticum aestivum (bread wheat), 1326 nucleotides. RefSeq lists it as uncharacterized. The record is from RefSeq and is a predicted model, not a curated record. The transcript is spliced from 3 exons. Lineage: Eukaryota; Viridiplantae; Streptophyta; Magnoliopsida; Poales; Poaceae.
CUCUUCUCCAGUGUCCGGCCAACCUGCAGUUCGAGUCCACCACACCCCACCCGCACAGAGCAAGCGAGGAGGGCGAGAUGACGGCGAGCUUCGGCCGCCGCCUCCGCCCGACGUCGGCGCCGCCGCUCGACGACGACGACCUGCUCGACGAGAUCCUCCUCCGCCUCCCCCCGGAUCCGUCCUCCCUCCCGCGCGCCUCCGCCGUCUGCACCCGCUGGCGCCGCCUCGUCUCCGACCCCGGCUUCGUCGGCCGCUUCCUCCUCCACCACCGCCUCCGCCCUUCCAUCCUCGGCUGCUUCAUCACGGACCAGCGGAGGGCGACCGUCUCCUUCGUGCCUACUCUGGAGGCCCCCAACCGUCUCCCCGCCGAGCGCUUCUCCUUGGAGCUCGGCGACCGCGGCCGCUUCAGGCUCCUCAGCUGCCGCCACGGCCUCCUGCUCAUGUUCCUCCCGUUGUGGAGCAAGGUCCUGGUCUGGGACCCCGUCACCGGAGACCAGCACCGCCUGGACAUUCCCCUAGGGUUUGACACGAAGAAGGAGAUCGCCGGGGCGGUGCUUCGCGCUGCCGGGGCCAUCCGCCACUUCCAAGUGGUCUUAGUGGGCAGAGACAAACAAAACAUAGUCGCCUGCGUUUACUCAUCGGAGGCUGGCGUAUGGAGCAAACUGAUCUCAACUCCGCUUCCAAAUCCGUUUUGCUACCAGUUUACAUCAACCAUUUGAAAGUGUCUAUACUGGAGAAACAAGCAUUGGUGGUGGACACAAUGGAGCUGAACUUUUGCACAACACAUAAGAUGAUUGUCUGGUUCAGUAUGUUAUUAUGGUGUAUUGGUUGAGCAGGUCUUCCUGUCGAUGAGUAGUGCUUGUGAGGCUAUUUUGUUUUCAGCAGCGGAAAUGGAGCCUCGGUGAGAGCCUUUUUCCUCUAAAAAAUCUGCCCAGGUGUCUAGAGUUACAUUGCAUAUUACCUAUUUGCAUUCUCUGUUUUUAUUACUCUAGAAGCUGAAAGUCCGCACUGCAUAUUACAUACUCCCUCCGUUCACAAAUGCAAGACGUUUUGGAUAUUUCAAUAUCGACCACAUACGGAUUGAAAUGAGUGAACAAACACACUAAAACGCAUCUAUAUAUAUCUGAUUCAGAAAAAGGUUAAAAGAUCUUACAUUUGUGAACAGAAGGAGUAUUUGUGUUCUCUGUUUCUGUUACUGUUUUCUCCCCAAUAUCACUACUUUGGAGUUUUUUGUACAAUUUCCACAAUGGUGAAGCUAGUGUUUACUAUGUGAAUCAUACACAAAUUAUGAGACUGUAUAACUUUAACGGUUUUCCCAUGAUUGCU